AGCCUUCCAGUAUCUGAAGGGGGCCUACCGGGAUGCUGGGGAGGGACUCUUGAUCAGGGCCGGCAGCAAUAGGACUGAAAGCUGCAGAUCUCAAUGUGUAUAUUGUAAUACCUGCUACUCCACUGAUGAGCUGACUCUUACCGUGGUUGAAGUGAUCUUGGAAUGAUAAUGGAAUGUCCUGAAAGCGUCAGCUCAAUGCUUCAAGAGCAGCUGAAGCAAAUGAGGUGCUGGUAAUCUUCAAAGCAGGAAUUCAAGAUAAAACAGAAGGCACUGGUAUGCCACCAAACCAAUAGUGUGCUCUCAGCUGGAGUGCAGCAUGUCACUUGACUCCCUCGUCUCGCUUAAAGGAGAUGGAAAGGCAGUACAACUGGAAGAAGUCUGGAAAAGAGUGGCAGGGGUUAUUUUAGCCAUGGAAUAACUUCAGUAGGAGGAACCAACUUGUUUUCUUCAUCCUGGAUCUUUGCCCCAUUUGACCUUGAGGGAGAAGGAGGAAUGAAAAAGUCUGUUCCUCUUUCUCUGUAGUUUUAAAGCAAUAAGCAGCAUACAAAAGUUAACAGCAACUAUUAUUCACUGGCCCUCCCAGUAAGAAAACAAAGGAGUGUGGGAUGCAGAUUCUGCAGCAGGUGGUGCAUGGGUGCAGUGAGAGCAUGCUAGGGACAAUGGCACUGCCAGCUUGCCAGUUCAUGGAAGAACCCGGAAUGGCAGUGCAGAGGCAUUAAUCUAAACAUCCUUCUAACAACAAUAGCAAGUUUGAGGAUAAAGUUCACAUUCCUGGUGCUAUCUACCUCUCCAUCAAAUUUGACUUUCAGUGUAAUACAUAAGAGGGCUGUGAAGAGUUGCUCAUGUCCAGCAGCAGUGAUUUCCAGCAGGAUCGACUCAGCUUCCGUGGGUCUCCACAGAAGUAGAAUGACUUGGAACGUCCAGGAAGCACAUUGGUAAAAGCCCAGCAGAUAGGCUUAUCUCUUCUCCCUGCUACACAAGUGCUCAGUCUCUGUUCUCUCCUAGGCCUGGUUUUGAUAACACAGGAGCAAAUGCUGGUGAGCUGAAGGAUGACAUCUUCAAGUUGUUUGAACCCACUGAGCACCAUGACAUUGCAGGAAGCUUUUGACUUCGGGUGCUGCCAGUAGCUGGAAACAGGCAUAGGAGCUCUCUUAGCAAAGCAGUUUGGGUGACAAAGUGCAUGUUAGGAACAAAUGUGUAUACUGUAGAAAUACUUUGGAUUUUUAUGACCUUCUUUCUGUCCUUUUCCUUCCGUAUAGUUGCAGAGGUUUGCUAAGAAACUGAACUUGGAGGCCCAUUGUUUUGGAGCAGCCCUGGCUGUGAAACCUGAGUUUUACCUUGUGGAACUUCAUUUUUGGACAAGGGUGUCUGGAUUAAGGCUCUUGAUUCCCCUCAGCAGGCUUAACUGCAACCAGGCAUUUGAAGGCUUCUGGGCUUUUCAUUUGUUGGCAAGGCUUUCUCAAACCUCUUAGGAAUAGGAGAGAGCAAUGAGUCCAUUUCGUGAUGGAAAAGGGGAAAAAAAAAAUUUCUUCCCUGUUGUGUU
Molecule: long non-coding RNA, 1543 nt
Organism: Melopsittacus undulatus (budgerigar)
Lineage: Eukaryota; Metazoa; Chordata; Aves; Psittaciformes; Psittaculidae
Exons: 5
Source: RefSeq, a predicted model, not a curated record